AGCGAACGCUGGCGGCAGGCUUAACACAUGCAAGUCGAACGGUCCUUCGGGACAGUGGCGGACGGGUGAGUAACACGUGGAACGUACCCUUAGGUUCGGAACAACACAGGGAAACUUGUGCUAAUACCGGAUAAGCCCUUCGGGGGAAAGAUUUAUCGCCUUUGGAGCGGCCCGCGUCUGAUUAGCUUGUUGGUGAGGUAAUGGCUCACCAAGGCUACGAUCAGUAGCUGGUCUGAGAGGAUGGCCAGCCACACUGGGACUGAGACACGGCCCAGACUCCUACGGGAGGCAGCAGUGGGGAAUCUUGCGCAAUGGGCGAAAGCCUGACGCAGCCAUGCCGCGUGGAUGAUGAAGGUCUUAGGAUUGUAAAAUCCUUUCACCGGGGACGAUAAUGACGGUACCCGGAGAAGAAGCCCCGGCUAACUUCGUGCCAGCAGCCGCCGUAA
Molecule: ribosomal RNA, 446 nt
Filed under: uncultured bacterium
Lineage: Bacteria
Description: partial 16S ribosomal RNA
Rfam family: Bacterial small subunit ribosomal RNA
Source: RNAcentral